This 441-nucleotide ribosomal RNA is filed under the name Epyris sauteri. RNAcentral describes it as "partial 16S ribosomal RNA". Lineage: Eukaryota; Metazoa; Arthropoda; Insecta; Hymenoptera; Bethylidae. The record is from RNAcentral.
CGUUAUCAAAAACAUCUCUUUUUGAUUAAAAUUUUAAGUUGACUCUGCCCAAUGAAAUUUAAAUGGCUGCAGUAUAUUGACUGUACAAAGGUAGCAUAAUAAUUUGUUUUUUAAAUGAAAACUUGAAUGAAAGAGGUGAUGAAAUAUAAUCUUUAUUUAUUUAAAAUUAUUGAAUUUAAUUUUUAAAUUAAAAAGUUUAAAUUUAAUUAAGGGACGAGAAGACCCUAUAGAAUUUAACAAUAUAAAUUAAUUAUUGAUAAAUAAAUAAAAUUGUUUAUUUGGGAGGAAUAUUAAAAUUUUAAACUUUAAUAAGAUUUUACAUAUUUAAAUGAUUAAAUAGGAUUUUAAGUUUUUAAAUGUAAGAUUAAAUUACCUUAGGGAUAACAGCGUAAUAUUUUUUGAUAGUUCAUAUUAAAAAAAAUGUUUGCGACCUCUGGUUGA